Non-coding RNA from Pantherophis guttatus, 490 nucleotides. NCBI's taxonomy places the organism in Eukaryota, Metazoa, Chordata, Lepidosauria, Squamata, Colubridae. The record is from RefSeq and is a predicted model, not a curated record.
CAGAUGUGUAAUGACACAACCCUGAAGUCAACAAGGUUCUCUGCUGGUUUUCCCAGAAAUCUCCUGUGAAGAUGAAACAGAUCUAUUGUGAUAACAGGACCAUCUCAGGAGUUCUCGGUAGUCUGCACACCACAGCUUGGGAAGAACGGCAUUAAAAAUGGAAAAGAAGUAGCUGUUUUCAAGAUUGCUGGCAUAAAGAAAAUAAUGGGAUCAUAUUUACAGGAGAGUCUUUCCUUGCAAUAAAUCUUGCAAACUUUCAAUAGCAUGUUAAUUGCCAUUACAAUUUAAUUAAAGAAUAAUAACUGUGGUAGAAAAGCAAGUUGCUUCAAGCAUACCAAGACAAUGUGAUUAACUUUUGGCCCGUAGUUUGGGAUGUCAUACCACCACUGGAAGGAGAUGAUGAAAAGCACAUGCAGGAAGCUUCUGGAAGUAAUAAAAUCCAUAACUACUUGCAGAUGGUGACUGACCAUUUAGAAAUAAAGGCAAAGUG